RNAcentral lists this ribosomal RNA (374 nucleotides) under uncultured organism. RNAcentral's name for it is "partial 16S ribosomal RNA". It matches the Rfam family "Bacterial small subunit ribosomal RNA", at positions 527 to 896 of the family's 1533-position model. The record is from RNAcentral.
GUAGGUGACAAGCGUUGUCCGGAAUUAUUGGGCGUAAAGCGCGCGCAGGUGGGUUCUUUAAGUCUGAUGUGAAAGCCCCCGGGCUCAACCGGGGAGGGUCAUUGGAAACUGGGGAACUUGAGUGUAGGAGAGGAAAGUGGAAUUCCACGUGUAGCGGUGAAAUGCGUAGAUAUGUGGAGGAACACCAGUGGCGAAGGCGACUUUCUGGCCUGUAACUGACACUGAGGCGCGAAAGCGUGGGGAGCAAACAGGAUUAGAUACCCUGGUAGUCCACGCCGUAAACGAUGAGUGCUAAGUGUUGGGGGGUUUCCGCCCCUCAGUGCUGCAGCUAACGCAUUAAGCACUCCGCCUGGGGAGUACGGUCGCAAAGACUG